This is an RNA transcript of Acanthochromis polyacanthus (spiny chromis), 7598 nucleotides long. It is a transcript of the gene named NLR family member X1, with no coding region annotated. The transcript is spliced from 14 exons. NCBI's taxonomy places the organism in Eukaryota, Metazoa, Chordata, Actinopteri, Pomacentridae. The record is from RefSeq and is a predicted model, not a curated record.
UUGAAGCGGAAGGUUCUCGCACGCGAAGCGGAACAGAAUGUGGAACAUCUGACAGAACUUACCAUGAACGAAAGUACAUGAGUCAGCCUCAGUGUCCGGACACUGCGACCGACUGGAGACAAAGACAGUAAGGUGCGCUAUGUUUGAAGUCCUCUGUUUUUCCUGACACGGCAUGAGAACUCUCCCUGACACAGAGACCCAGCAAAAAAGAAGGAUGAGCCUACUACACAGAGGGCUAAGUAAACUUCUCACAGUGUGGAGGUGGAAGAGAAGGGUGGAGGCUUCCCUGUGUCCAGCAACGGUCUUUCACUGCAGGGCUUUCUGCUCCACCCCUUCAGAACCAGACCCGAUAGAUAUUCACAGAAGGAAGCUCUUCCUGUGGUUCAGCCACCUUCCCCAGGAGGAGAAACAGUUUGGAGGUUACUUUAGCCCUGAGACCAUGCAUGUGGAUCCACUGAUCUUGGAAAGAAAUCCCGAGGAGAGGUUAGGACUGCUCAGCCCCUGUCUGCAAACCAAGAACUCCUCGUUCCCCUCCGUGACUGUGGAACAGCUGUUUGAGCCUACUGAUGCCUGGAGUGAGGAUCGCGGGCUCAAUGUGCUGCUCUAUGGGGCAGUGGGAACAGGAAAAAGUACAGUGAUCCGAAAGCUAGUGCUGGAUUGGUGCACUGGGACCACUCUAGCUAACUUCAAGCUUCUGGUUCCAUUCUCUUGUGAGGACCUUAACCAGCUGUCAAAGAUGACUUCCCUAAGGGACCUGGUGAGUAGGAAGUACCUCCACCUGAAAAAACACCCCCUCCUGAGUGGGGAGGGAAACCAGGCCAAGGAUGUGCUUUUCCUCUUUAACGGGAUGGAGAAGAUACAGUUGGACUUCCGCAUUGGAUCCACAGAGCUAUGUAGUGACCCUAAUGAAGCUCUGCUUCCAGGUGUAGUGGUGGUGAACCUGCUGAGGAAGUAUCUCCUGCCUGAGGCCAGCAUCUUGGUUACCACAAGACUGUCUGCUCUAGACCGUAUCCCUCAGAAGUAUGUUAGUCGUUAUGCACAGAUUUGUGGCUUCAGUGACCCAGACCGCCAGCGGGCAUACUUCACUAGCCGCCUACUGCAGCAGAGUGGGAAGACAGCACAUAACCAAGAGGCCCAGGCUCUAAUAGAGCUGCUUUACCUCAGCCUCCAGAGAGAAAGUCAGCUUGCUGCAGCCUGCUUCCUCCCCUCCUACUGCUGGCUCACAUGUGCUACCUUACACUUCCUCCAUUUCACCAACGUCAAUGCCCCCAUCCGCACAUUGACUGGCAUAUACACCAGUUUUCUCAGGCUCAACUUUGGGGGUGAGGUCCUGGGAACAGGGGCAGGGACUAACGUGCCCAUUCAGGGGCACCACAGUUCUCUGAUGUUGUAUGUCGUUCGUACAGUUGGUAAGCUUGCUUUUGAUGGUGUGACUUACAAGCGCACGUCGUUUUCAGAAAGGGAACUGGAACAGUGGAUAGGAGGGAAGACCAAGACAGAUGAGGAGCUACAUCAGCUGGCCAUGUUCCGCACUGAUGUGUUAGACUUCUUUUUAGCUCCCUGUGUAGGAAAUGAGAAGUAUUUAUCCCAAGACCUCAGUGAGAAUGAUGAGAGGCGGUACGUGUUUGCUGUCCCAGCCAUGCAGGAGUAUCUGGCGGCUCUCUACAUGGUUCUAGGAGAGAACAAAUCGGCUCUGGAGAAACUGACCAGGCAGGUGUCUGUGGCCAUUGGCCAGGCAACUGAGGAUGUGAAUGCCCUUAUGAAUAUCCUUUCUAAAUUCAUCCCCCUAAGAAUAUUUGCCAUAUUCAACCUUCUUAAACUGUUUCCAAAGCUUUUUGAGAAAAUCCGCAGUCGCAACAAAGGCAGUAUUGCCAAAACCAUGGCAGCUGAGAUGUUCCGCACUGAAGAUAGCUACAAUGAGGAUGUCCUGGAUCAGGUGGAGCAAAGCCUUCUUGGCGUCCAUGGUCCGCAGCCAAAGCAGUACAGUGAAGGCCAACCUUUUGAACUGUACCCCAUCUUCAUGGGUGGACUGUUGCAUUAUGGUAACCGUGUUCUCCUCCAACAACUUGGCUGCAGCAUUCAAAGCAGCACCGUGGCCCAGAUCACACUUGCCCUCAGGAAGUAUCUUGUCAGAGAACUCAGCAAACCGCAGCCACCGGAGGAGUUGAUGGAUCUGCUGGUCCUUCUGUACGAGUUUCAGAACCCAAGACUGACUGCAGAGGUUCUGGCCUCAAUCAGAGCCAUCCGACUCACCAACAUUCGUAUGACGCCAAUCAAAUGCUUCGUACUGAGUUCUGUGCUGUCAUGCACACCUCCAAGCUAUCACCUUGAAGAGCUGGACCUGUCCUCCUGUCUCCUGACUCAUGACCUGCUUCAGAUGCUGUGGCCUGCCUUUAGACACACACACAACCUCAAUCUGCAGUUUAACAGCCUGGGUCCGGAGUCUUGCAUCCUGCUGAGAGACCUGCUACUAGACCCCAAGAUUUUGAUUAGAUCUCUACAAUUAUGUAUGCAUACCCAGUGCUCCGCAAAACUCCUCAGGGGCGACUCCUCAUGGGGCCAACUGAAGAGGCAAACCGGAGUGAGACCGUGGUGGCAGGGAGGGCCAGGAGCAAGGAGGAGGUUCUGGCCGAGGCCACUGCCUUCGUGAGGCAAAACGGAGGGGAUCCCAGUGACCAGUUCCUGGUUCUGGCUGACUGCAGGAUCCAGCUGGGGAAGUACCAGUGCCAGAAGUUCCGGUGGCUGCUUGAGAAUGCGCUGGGGUAUGCGGUCUACCUGGUCGGCAGCAUUAUGAGGGAAGAGGAGAGGGACAACCCGCUGUCGGCCAAUAAACACCUGUUCCUCAGGUACACCUCCCAGAUCAGGGAGAUAGGGGAAGCUGUGGAGGUGUACCAGAGAAAACAGGCCAUGCUGCAGGAGGCCCAGAGGACUGGAGACUCUGGCUGUCUAAUGGUGGAGUUUGGCGACUUCAGGGGCAGGUCCAUGAAGGAGGUGUAUGAGGACAAACGCAAGGAAGCCAAGGCUCUCAUCACCUACCUGAAAAAGUCAACAGCCAGGCCAAACACCAACAUAGCCCUCUUCAAAGCAUAUGUGCUGAAGAGGCAGGCUUCCGCUCCAGCCCCUGUGCCCACCACCACUGCCACUGCACCUGCCCUCACUGCUGCUGUGUCUGCUGCUGCCGCCAUGCCCACUGCAUCUGCCCCCACUGCUGCUGCCACCAUGCCCACUGCCACUGUGUCUGUUCCUCCUCCGCCUGCUGAAACUCAGAGCAGGCUCCCGGUUGCUGCCACUGUGAAGGCCCUGCUGGCGCGUGGGAAGCAUUUGUCUGCUUCACAGCUGGCACAAAAAAUAUUGUCUCCAGCCAAACCCUUGCCACGUUGCCCCCCUUCGUCACAGUCCACAGCCCGGAGACGGCUCUUUACCUGCGACACUGCUGCUGGGGUUUUUUUUGAGGAGGAAGACAACCAGGAGAUGGUGAUGGUGGCCUCACAGGCUGAGGAACAACUUCCUCAAGAGAAAUGACACUUAUCAAGUGUCAAGCUACAUUUACUCUUUGAGUGCACUUCAUCAAAGCAAAAAGAGAACUUAAAGGUCCAUUGCUGCCUCAAGAGGGCCUGCUCGCGCCCCUGUUCCUGCCCUGGCCCCGGCCCCUGCUCCUCCAGCUGUGUGGACUCCUGGACCGGUGGUCCAUCCCCCUGCAGAGCUUCCUGUCCACUGGAAUGAGCACCUCCCAUCAUUCCAGCGAGACUGGAUCAGGAAAGCUCUGUUCAGGGCCAACGCUAAAACAGGGAAGCCAGAGCUGAUACCACAUCCCAACUUCUGGUGUAACCCUCCCCAGCCCCCGACCAUCUUCACUCAGCCUCAGUAUACUUACCUCAGCUGCAACAGUAACUAAUCAAUGUCCGAAUGGCAAUACUUUUAAUUAAUACAUGUAAAUAAAUCUUUAUACUGACCUCAGCUGCUACACUGACCAAUCUAUGCCAAUGAAAUGUAAAUACCAUUUUACUUACCCUAGACCUGGAUAGCCAUCAGUGUUAAUAAUAAACAUGCAAGUACACCUUGAUACUUACAUCACUGCUACAGUAACUAAUCUAUGCCAAAAGAAAUCUAUUAUAAAUACCAUAUCUAUGUGUAAAUACUGUUGAUAUUUUUUAUUGUAUAUACUUUGUAUGAUGUUGUCUUUAUUUCAUUUAUAUUACUCAGUAUACUGUAUUAUAUUUCCACAUUGCUUAUUGUUGUUCAUCAGUGGAAGUGUGUUAUGUCUUUACUUUGUUUUUGUAAAUAAAUGCUGUACAAAAAUUCCUAUUCAUCGCUUUGCUUUUAAUUACCUGAAGACUGGAGUGUGCAGUGUUUACUUAACUGAGGUCAGGGGCACUGUAAAUCACAGCAGCUUGUCUUUGAACACUAGGCUCCUGGGGGUCAGAGGAAGGUCAGGGCAGGUGCAUGCUCCUCAUAUGAACUCUGACUCAGGUUCAUUCAGAGGCUACUACAAAUACAUUUAUACUAUUGUUACAUUAAUAACAAAUAGUAGGCUCAAAUAAAUAAUUUAUAAUAAAAAUAUGUAUGCUUCAAGUUGGCUAAACAGUAAUUAUAUCUCAUUUUACACUAUUUGCAUUGUGCACAGUCACUUCUCUAGGCGUAGUACACAUUAUAUAGACUUUAUUGCCAAAUAAACGUUAUAUUUAUUGACAAAUAAAGGUUUGGAAACAGAGUUUGUCAAAACAGUGUAACAUUGUUAAAAAUGUUAUGGAUGAAAGAAUCUGCUCUAUUGGGUGGGACUAUAUAAUGGAUACAAUGUCGCGGAAGAAUGGCACUACCGUCUGCUUAAAACAAGGAUCGUGAGAACGCAACAGACUCUGGUAAACACGUUUUUAAUCUCUGAACCGUAGUAUGCUCAAAUGUUACUGGAGCAUCCUCCAUUCACUUUUCCGUGAAAACUCGCCUCUGGGGCGAGAAGAUUGGGCCCCAUCUUAUUGACGUGAAAGUUCUUAAAAUUUGAGUGCUUGUGAACAAGUGUGUGUUUAUGCAUUUUUAUUUAGAAAUGGGAGUUUUUGCAGCAUGUUAGGCCCAAGAUGAUUUUGCCUCUUUGAGAUCAGUACUCCUGCUUUGGAGAAUACUCUCUCACAUGGGACAGAAGAGGAGGGCAUAAAUAAAAAAAUCAAUUUAAGUUUCUGCAGCUGUGGAUAGCGGUGUCUCUGUUUUUUUUUCUCCAGUAUUUCAAAGGAUUUUGCACUCUUGGAAUGUUGCUUUCGGACAGGUAACACUGGACUUCAGUGACAGUGUCUGCAGUUGCAGUCGAAUUCAUCCUGUUUUCUAGGAUGUCUGAAUCCAGCUGCUGCCACAGAUUGUUACCUUCUUAGGUAACAUUCUGUGGCAGCAGCUGGAUUCAGACAUACAGUACGUCUUUGUUAGUAAUAAAUUACAAAUCACAUGACGCACAAGUUAAAUAAAUGGAAUUAACAAGUACAUCAUGUACCUGAACAGGGUGCUGAUGGUAACAGUUGGAAUGAAGGGUAUGUCUAGGUUGUGACUCUUCCCAUGGUCCUCCAAUAGCAGCUGAUGAGGUCAGCUGAAAUGAGGAUUUCAGCUGCACACUCUACUUUCAAAUGUUUGACUGCGUCUUUGACUUUGGAUGGACUGCAAAUCCAAUACUUUUGUGUCUUGGGUCCAACAUUGUAGAAAGUGUCAUCUCUAAGUGAGUCCAGACUGCAGAUUGUGAUCCUUCUUCUCAGGCUGUUGAUGACUUGUGUUGCUGUUGGAGUGAUCACAUUCGAGGCAUUGUGUAGCAGUGCAUGGUGCAGCAUUUUCAGCAAUGAGAUUUGCUUGGAUCCAGACACUCUGUUUUCUUCUGACAGCUUCCACUGAGCUUCAUUGAAUUGAGGUAGCACAAGGAGUGUUUCUUGAAUGACCUUGUGAUCUUUUGCAGAAAGUGGGGUGAGCUAAAUUCUUAAAGAGGCCAGAGAUACCCAUACCAGCUUCUUUCUUGAUUAAUUCUUUCCUGCAUAUGGUGUGUGCUGUUCCAUCUUGUAGGGACUUCACAAGUUUUAGCAGUGACCUCCUGUCUGCUGUUGCACUUGAGCCAGCUUCUCCUUAGCUGUGGUGCUUGACCUGAAAUAGGUUACUAUUUGCCUUGUUUUGUUUUGUAUAUCGGUGAGUAUUGCUACUUGAUCAAAUUACAAUUACCAAUUAAAUGUAGAGCAUGUGCAAUGCAUAUUAUGCUUCUAAUUUGAUUAAUUUUAGCAGAUACUCUCAUGUUUGAUGCUGCAUCUGUGAAAAGACAUCUGACUUUGUCAGCUAUGGCCCAUUCUUCCGUAAGGGCCUUCUUCACUUGGGCCAUAUUUUCCACUGUAUGGGUUUGUGGGGAGUGUUCUACUCCCCAAAUUAAUGGCGCAGCUUAUGGCUGUUGUUGAUGUAGUGGCAACUUACAGCCAGAUACGCUCCCAUGUUAGCUGAUGUCCACAUAACAGUGGUUAAACUGACUGCAACUGCUUUCUCUAUUUCUUUCUUGGCUUUCUCCUUUUCUGCUUCAUAUCUCUGGCUUACCACCUCUUUGAUGACCUACAAUAAAAAAAAAAUAAUUAAAAAGUGUUCCAUUAAAAUGUGUCCAAGAUACACCAUCCCACUGUCACUUUGUGGUACAACGAGAUAGUUCCUCACUAGAGGAUCAGUGCUGUUCUGCAAGGUGAUGAACAGUCAUUCCUGAAAGUCUGUAAACCACUCAUGAUCUAGCUCCGUGUUGAGACUUUUAAUUUGUUGGCAAACGAUUAUCUUACCUGACAUGGACAUUUCCAGAUCCCAACACUGCCAAUGGACAUUCUCAUUUGUAAUAAAGCUAAAUCGGGGACUAUCUAGUGACUGAAACAGAUGAAGAAAAAAAUGCCAAAACUAAAAAAAAAGCAGACAUUUAGUCCUUAGUGUCUGUCAUGUCCUUCAAUGUCUCGUAAAUGCCUACAUCUUUCUAACUUUACCCCAGGCUAUCUGUUCCAAAUAACUGUAGAAAUCUCACAACAAAAUAGACAAGACACUGUUUUCUCAGGCUGAGUAAUUUUACCUACAACAAAUAAACUGAACAGAUGACUUUUAUUGCGAGACAGCUGUAGGAAAUCUGCUGUACUUGUCACAAAAUUAUUGGAGCUUUGUUAACUUGACUUUUCCAUGAAAAACCCUUUACGCGCAAGAUUAGGAUAUAUUUAGCACUGUGUCUCGGGUUUAAACAUUGCAAAGAAUGAAAGCCACAGUUUGCUGUUGGAGGAAGAGCUACAGUUAAGAGACAGUUCAAAGCUAACUCUCCUGUAAUAGGAGUGUUAGCUAUGAACUGGUUUCUUCAGCGGUUUCUUUCCCUUUGGAUCUGCAGGAUUUGCUCCUCUGAUUAACUACUUCUUAACAGUCCCUUCAGGUGGGAUGUAAACUAUUCAUGCAAUACCAACACAACUUAAUUGUGCAUAUAUGCUUGUUGCUGUUAGCUUUUAAAUCCAUUAGCUCUUCUUUUUUCUGACAUUGUAUCAGAUGUUGACCACACUCACAGUCUGUCUUUGUUCCAUGACGCCCUGGCUAAUGUCAUCAUUGCACGUACAGAAAUGUUUCAUCAAUCAAAUGUG